Molecule: non-coding RNA, 144 nt
Organism: Gossypium arboreum
Lineage: Eukaryota; Viridiplantae; Streptophyta; Magnoliopsida; Malvales; Malvaceae
Source: Rfam
UGUUAAAAAUUUCAUUCAUUUAUACUUUUUAAAACUGGUGUAAUUGAUAAAAUAAUCAGACAAUAACAUAUAGCAUUCAUGUAUACCUUAUACUGACAUAAUGGAACUAAUUUUUAAGAGUAUAAAUAGAUUGCAUUUUUAAGA